RNAcentral lists this transfer RNA (95 nucleotides) under Theobroma cacao (cacao). It matches the Rfam family "tRNA". Rfam says of the family: Transfer RNA (tRNA) molecules are approximately 80 nucleotides in length. Lineage: Eukaryota; Viridiplantae; Streptophyta; Magnoliopsida; Malvales; Malvaceae. The record is from Rfam by way of RNAcentral.
CCGACCUUAGCUCAGUUGGUAGAGCGGAGGACUGUAGUGGGCAAAAAUCCAACAGGUAAAUCCUUAGGUCGCUGGUUCGAAUCCGGCAGGUCGGA